Molecule: non-coding RNA, 1187 nt
Organism: Arvicanthis niloticus (Nile rat)
Lineage: Eukaryota; Metazoa; Chordata; Mammalia; Rodentia; Muridae
Source: RefSeq, a predicted model, not a curated record
CUGAGUCCGGUGGCUGCGUCCGCUACGCAGCGAGUCACCCACCCCACCAAGUGCCGCUCGGGCGUACGGUGCUUGGGAGACGUGUUAGGCACACGGGCCGCUCGAAGAAUGGCGUCCAUUUACAUAAUGCUUUGUUUGCAUUUCGUUGGCUCCUGUUUGUGAAGCCCUCAGAAACCCCACUUCCUGCCCUCGUGCUUUAUCUCCCACGAGAGUUUCUGAGACUUUAGAGGGGCAGUGCGCAUUGAUGGGGUGCCGGCAUGGCCCCACACGUCCGCGCUGGCUCGCGGGCCGUCUAGGCCACGCUCUCUGGAGGCCGCCACCCCUCAGCGCGGCCGCCAUCUUGGGAGGUCUUCCUGACCGAGCCCUCCCGCCAGGAAAUGGCCAUCGGUGGAAACGCUGGAGGGCGGCUAGUGAUUUCUUUGCCUGCUCCUUGUGCGGCCUCCAUAGUCAGCCUAGAGGAGGCCGUGUGAACGUGUUUAAUACUACACAGAAAGGGCUAACGUGGCGUUCCUUCGCCCCCCUCACCGCCCCCCCCAGCGGGGAGGGCAGGCAGCCAUGAUUCCCAACAAAAUGGCGACACGUGUUGCCAUCGAGAAAUUGGGAACAAGACAAACCCAGAGAGAUGAAGUGACUGACCCAAGGUUACACAGAAUGGAAUCUGUAUCUUCUGAUUUCCCUACUGUUGGUGGCUCGCAACUGUCUAUUGACUUCAGUUUUAGGACAUUGGACACCUUCUUCUGGUCUCGGGAGGAACCAGGCACACCCACACUCCCAUGUUCAGAGGAGCAGCCCUUGAAGCUACUGAAAUAAUGGAACAAUGGAGUAGAUGGUCCAUUAUAACUCAUCUGUGAUUCUUCUCAAAUUCAAGUGACCACAGAAAAAGCAGUUAACAAGUGUCUGGACUACUGGAGAAGACUCAGGCCUCUGAGCCACAGCAGGAACAAAGCCUGAGACAUUAUCAACAAGAAGAAGCAUAAGCAUCCAUCUGCCAUGACACAGAAGUGUCCUGGGGGAAACAGACCAAAAGAGAAGAGGAGGUUGGGGGCCCGGAAGACUGAGGCCCAUCCUGGGGUGGAAGCACGAGCAGAUUUCCUCGGUCCAGAUGGCUGGAUCGGUGGAGAUUAAAUGCAGAUGUUGGCAGUGCAUUGAGAGCACUUUUUUUUUUAUUAUAACCCCUACCACAAAUU